This 2411-nucleotide non-coding RNA is filed under the name Limnonectes sp. I BJE-2003. Its description in RNAcentral is "partial contains tRNA-Phe, 12S ribosomal RNA, tRNA-Val, and 16S ribosomal RNA". The stretch from base 1078 to 2411 matches the Rfam family "Bacterial large subunit ribosomal RNA", at positions 1 to 2589 of the family's 2925-position model. The record is from RNAcentral. Lineage: Eukaryota; Metazoa; Chordata; Amphibia; Anura; Dicroglossidae.
GUUCUAAAGGCAAAAAGACUUGGUCCUAAUCUUAUUAUCAGCUUUUCCUAAACUUACACAUGCAAGUCUCAGCACACCAGUGAGGACGCCCUUUCCCCUGAACCAGGAUAAGGAGCCGGUAUCAGGCACAAAACUUGCCCAUUACACCUAGUCCCACCACGCCCCCAAGGGCUCUCAGCAGUGAUAAAUAUUGUCAAUAAGCGACAGCUUGAGUCAGUUACAGGAAAAAGAGCUGGCCAACUCGGUGCCAGCCGCCGCGGCUAGACCGCACGAGCUCAAGUUGAUAAGCAUCGGCGUUAAGCGUGGUUAAAGGCCACUUUAACUAGAAUAAAAUCUACACUUAGCUGUAAUAAGCUUGCUGUUAGAGAAGACCAAAAACGAAAGUUAUUCUAGUCCACUUGAACCCACGAUAGUCAGGAAACAAACUGGGAUUAGAUACCCCACUAUGCCUGACCGUAAAACAACUCACACCACCAACGCCAGGGUACUACGAGCCCAGCUUAAAACCCAAAGGACUUGACGGUGUCCCACCCAACUAGAGGAGCCUGUUCUAUAAUCGAUGAUCCCCGAUUUACCCAACCUCAUCUUGCUAAUCAGCCUGUAUACCUCCGUCGUAAGCUUACCAUGUGAAUGCUCACAGUAGGUAUGAUGGUCUUACACCAAUACGUCAGGUCAAGGUGCAGCUUAUGAUGUGGAAAGCAAUGGGCUACAAUUUCUAAAAUAGAACACACGAAACACUACAUGAAACACAGCUAUGAAGGCGGAUUUAGUAGUAAAAAGGAAAUAAUGUGUCCUUUUUAACAAGGCCCUGGGACGUGUACACACCGCCCGUCACCCUCUUCAACAGUUUAUAAUCUGUUUUUAACAAUCACACACGCCUUAGAAGAGGCAAGUCGUAACAUGGUAAGUGUACCGGAAGGUGCGCUUGGAUUAACAAAAUAUAGCUUAACCAAAGCUUCUCGCUUACACCGAGAAGAUGUCUGUUUGAACCAGAUUAUUUUGAGCCUAAAAUUUAGCCUACUAACAACCUAUGCACAACCCAAACUAUAAACCAAAAAUAAAACAUUUUUUUGUCAAGUAGAGGUGAUCAAAAAACUUAUUAGCGCUACAUAUCAAGUACCGCAAGGGAAAAAUGAAAUAGACUUGAAAUAGCCUUAAAGCAAAACAAAGUAGAGAUCACCCCUCGUACCUUUUGCAUCAUGAUUUAGCUAGUUCCUCCCAGGCAAAGUGAAACACCAGUCUGACCCCCCGAAACUAGACGAGCUACUUUUAAACAGCUUUAUGGAGCCAACCCGUCUCUGUUGCAAAAGAGUGGGAUGAUUUUUAAGUAGAGGUGAAAAGCCUAUCGAGCCUAGAGAUAGCUGGUUACUUAGGAAAAGAAUUUUAGUUCGCCCUCAAGUCUUUUUAUUACAAUAACAAACAACCUAGGACUUGACAGCUACUCAAGUAAGGCACAGCUUACUUGAUAAAGGACACAACCUAGAAAAAAGGGUAAAAAUUGAUCAUCCAAACUAAGUGGGCCUAAAAGCAGCCACCUUUUAAAAAGCGUUAAAGCUUCGUAUCCUUAUAUUUAACCUAAUGCCUAAAAACACUUUAAACCCUUUACUAUUACUUAGUAAUUUUAUAUUAUUAUAAAAGUUUUUAUGCUAGAACUAGUAACAAGAAACUGAAUUUCUCCUAAAUAUAAGCAUAAACCAAAACGGACAAACCAUUGGUAAUUAACGCUUGUAAGCCUAAUAUACUAACUUCGCAAGAAAAAUCUAUAAACAUGCACGUUAAUCUUACACAAGUAUAUUUCAGGAAAGAUUAAAAGAAAAGGAAGGAACUCGGCAAAUUUUAACCCCGCCUGUUUACCAAAAACAUCGCCUCUUGAUCAAAUAUAAGAGGUCUAGCCUGCCCAGUGACGUACUUAAACGGCCGCGGUACCCUGACCGUGCAAAGGUAGCAUAAUCAUUUGUUCUUUAAAUAAGGACUUGUAUCAACGGCAUCACGAGGGUUAUACUGUCUCCCCUCUCUAAUCAGUGAAACUGACCUCCCCGUGAAGAGGCGGGGAUAAAAAUACAAGACGAGAAGACCCCAUGGAGCUUCAAACCCAAUAGCAACCUCCUUAAACAAAAAGCCACAAAACUCUGAGGAACUGUAUACUGGUUUUAGGUUGGGGUGACCACGGAGUAAAAUAAAACCUCCCUGACGAAUGGACUUUAUCCUAAUCCAAGAGCCACUGCUCUAAGAAUCAAAAAUUUGACGUAACAUGAUCCAGCACUAAACUGAUCAACGAACCAAGUUACCCUGGGGAUAACAGCGCAAUCCAUUUCAAGAGCCCCUAUCGACAAAUGGGUUUACGACCUCGAUGUUGGAUCAGGGUGUCCCGGUGGUGCAGCCGCUACCAAAGGUUUGUUUGUUCAACAAUU